GAUGAACGCUGGCGGCGUGCCUAAUACAUGCAAGUCGAACGAAACUUCUUUAUCACCGAGUGCUUGCACUCACCGAUAAAGAGUUGAGUGGCGAACGGGUGAGUAACACGUGGGCAACCUGCCCAAAAGAGGGGGAUAACACUUGGAAACAGGUGCUAAUACCGCAUAACCAUAGUUACCGCAUGGUAACUAUGUAAAAGGUGGCUAUACUACCGCUUUUGGAUGGGCCCGCGGCGCAUUAGCUAGUUGGUAGGGUAAAGGCUUACCAAGGCAAUGAUGCGUAGCCGAAUUGAGAGGUUGAUCGGCCACAUUGGGACUGAGACACGGCCCAAACUCCUACGGGAGGCAGCAGUAGGGAAUCUUCCACAAUGGGCGAAAGACUGAUGGAGCAACGCCGCGUGGGUGAAGAAGGUCUUCGGAUCGUAAAACCCUGUUGUUAGAGAAGAAAGUGCGUGAGAGUAACUGUUCACGUUUCGACGGUAUCUAACCAGAAAGCCACGGCUAACUACGUG
Molecule: ribosomal RNA, 512 nt
Filed under: uncultured bacterium
Lineage: Bacteria
Description: partial 16S ribosomal RNA
Rfam family: Bacterial small subunit ribosomal RNA
Source: RNAcentral